This 148-nucleotide non-coding RNA is filed under the name Homo sapiens (human). Lineage: Eukaryota; Metazoa; Chordata; Mammalia; Primates; Hominidae. The record is from Rfam by way of RNAcentral.
GCUGGGCAUGGUGGUGGGUGCCUGUAAUCCCAGCUACACAGGAGGCUGAGGCAGGAGAAUUGCUUGAACCCAGGAGGCGGAGGUUGCGGUGAGCCGAGAUCACACCACUGUACUCCAGCCUGGGUGACAGAGCAAGACUCUGUCUCAA